AAUAAGUGCAGUUGUGGAUUUCUGUGUUCAACGUUUGACCAUCUGUCUUAUUUGAUUUUUUUUUAUAAUUAGUAUCUUUGUUGUAAUUAGAUGAUAAAAUAUGAAUAAUACUUUAUACGUGAAUUAUUUUUAUUAUUUUUUAAUAAAAUUUCAAAUAAGACGGAUGGUCAAGCAUUGAACGCAUAAACCCACAACCGCACUUAAA
Oryza meridionalis is the source of this 205-nucleotide non-coding RNA. The record is from Rfam. Lineage: Eukaryota; Viridiplantae; Streptophyta; Magnoliopsida; Poales; Poaceae.